GGGAAUAUGGCUUAGUAGUAGAGUGCUUGUCUUGCAUGCAUGAAGCCCUAGGUUCGAUUCCUCAGUACUA
RNAcentral lists this transfer RNA (70 nucleotides) under Dipodomys ordii (Ord's kangaroo rat). It matches the Rfam family "tRNA". Rfam says of the family: Transfer RNA (tRNA) molecules are approximately 80 nucleotides in length. Their secondary structure includes four short double-helical elements and three loops (D, anti-codon, and T loops). Further hydrogen bonds mediate the characteristic L-shaped molecular structure. tRNAs have two regions of fundamental functional importance: the anti-codon, which is responsible for specific mRNA codon recognition, and the 3' end, to which the tRNAs corresponding amino acid is attached (by aminoacyl-tRNA synthetases). tRNAs cope with the degeneracy of the genetic code in two manners: having more than one tRNA (with a specific anti-codon) for a particular amino acid; and 'wobble' base-pairing, i.e. permitting non-standard base-pairing at the 3rd anti-codon position. Lineage: Eukaryota; Metazoa; Chordata; Mammalia; Rodentia; Heteromyidae. The record is from Rfam by way of RNAcentral.